This 361-nucleotide ribosomal RNA is filed under the name uncultured bacterium. RNAcentral describes it as "bacterial SSU rRNA". It matches the Rfam family "Bacterial small subunit ribosomal RNA", at positions 1 to 334 of the family's 1533-position model. The record is from RNAcentral.
CUAGCGACUUCUAGAGUUUGUAUCCUGGCUCAGGAUGAACGCUGGCGGCGUGCUUAACACAUGCAAGUCGAACGGAGUGAAUAAAACGGAAGUUUUCGGUAUGGAAGUUUUACUUACUUAGUGGCGGACGGGUGAGUAACGCGUGGGUAACUUGCCCUCUAGACUGGGAUAACAGAUAGAAAUGUCUGAUAAUACCGGAUAUUAUUGUUACAUGGCAUCAUGUAGGAAUGAAAGGAUAAGAUUGCUAGAGGAGAGCUUUGCAUCCUAUUAGCUAGUUGGUAAGGUAGCGGCUUACCAAGGCGAUGAUAGGUAGCCGGCCUGAGAGGGUGGACGGCCACAAGGGGACUGAGAUACGGCCCUU